GACGAACCGAGCGAACGUUGUUCGGAAUCACUGGGCUUAAAGGGCGCGUAGGCGGGCAUCAUAGUCUGUGGUGAAAUCCGGCAGCUUAACUGUCGAAUUGCCAUGGAUACUGGGUGUCUCGAGGGAGGCAGGGGUGCGCGGAACUAAUGGUGGAGCGGUGAAAUGCGUUGAUAUCAUUAGGAACUCCGGUGGCGAAGGCGGCGCACUGGUCCUUUUCUGACGCUGAGGCGCGAAAGCCAGGGGAGCAAACGGGG
Molecule: ribosomal RNA, 254 nt
Filed under: uncultured bacterium
Lineage: Bacteria
Description: partial 16S ribosomal RNA
Rfam family: Bacterial small subunit ribosomal RNA
Source: RNAcentral